AAGUAAUCCUCGUGUGUGACAGAGAGAGAGAGAGAGAGAGAGAGAGAGAGAGAGAGAGAAACGAGCUGGCGGAGAGGAGCAGAAGGCAGGAGGGGAAAUCUGGCACAACGGCUGGGAGAGGAAACUUGAUGCUUCUGGGCCACCAUUUGCCAGGGCCUCGCUCGAGACGCCGAAAGAAGCCUGUUUGUGUGCUGCGGCCGUGCUGUGACUUUGGAUCUUGUCUUUCAGCCGGCGCCUCGGUUCCUGCCCAGCUGGAUUUGGGGGGCAGCAUUGCCUGGCGCAGGGAGAUCAAAUGAGACUGCAAAGAAGCAUAAAAUGAAUAGACAAUCCAACCAACCAAAGACCGGGGGCAGCAGCAGGCCAGCAAGACGGCAUCUUCUCCUUCCCAGCCUAGAAGCCCUGUGAAAUCGAGGAUCUUCCCCCUAAAACACAUACACACAAGAUAUGUGCAAUCAAGCUGCCACCGCUUGGUAAAAAGCCAUGGUGCCUAACCAAAAAGGAUCAGGAACAGAUCCUUGAAUCAGCUGUCACUUCUAUAGAAUGGGAUUUUUUUUUCCUUCCUCCUUAACCUGCGCUGGAAA
Molecule: long non-coding RNA, 581 nt
Filed under: Homo sapiens (human)
Lineage: Eukaryota; Metazoa; Chordata; Mammalia; Primates; Hominidae
Description: non-protein coding LINC00461:7
Source: RNAcentral